UACUAGAAUCUGUAUCAUGUUCAGAGAAUCACAAGAAACCCAAAAAGAAUUCUGACUUUGCCACGUCAUUGUUUUUUGAAAGAAUUCUGAAUGACAUCAUUUUAUAAGUGAAGCAUGACAGUUGUGUGAAGUACAACCUCUCAUUUGACUGCUUUUCACAAAUACUGAGUAUAAAUGACCCCAGAAAACAUCUGAGGCAUUCAGCAGCUAAAUCCAUGCCAGAAACCAGCUAUGAGCCAGCUGAUGACGACAUAACCACAGCGUUUCACAUACACAAGCCGUCUCCUUUAGCCACUUUUAUCAGUCAUUGCUCUAUUUUAAGAUCUAUCUGUUCUGAGAUCACGAGGGUCAAAUGUCAGAGUUAUCUGAAUGCCACAUCAACAAGAAGAGUUAAGCACUGAAUGAUUAGAAAAGAUGACAAUAACAGUCCGGUUUCUCAGUCCGACCUCUGUCCGUCUGGCCACUUUUCUUUACAGCUCUCUAUAGAUCAGUCUUAGCAAGAAAAAAGAUGCCAUUGUUUUGGAGAGGGAAGGGCUCAUCCUUUCUGCCAGGAGAGGAAGCUGGGGCAGAGGCAGGAAGCUUACACCAGCAAUGACCUCAUCGUCCUGGGCUGUCUACGGUUACCAGCAACAACAGGAUUCCCGUAAGUAGUGGGCGACAGAAAACAAGUUGGAUAUUGUUUAGGUGCAUUUUAGGAUGAAGCAAUGAACAGCCCGAGGAGAGCUGAGGAUGAAGAAAAAAACGAAGGAAAGCUGACUUGAGGAAUGUGCUGUGUCAGAGGAACUGUGUUUGGACUUUACCAGGGCCCCCAGAGAGUCUCUGUCACUUUGUGCUCCCUGGACAAUAUAAUCGAGACAGCAGAAUGCUAGAUACGUGCCAUAAAACUAAAGGCCUACGCAGCAUUUGAACCUUUUUCUGCAAAAACCCUCAUUUAUUUUUUCAACUGAAGAAAGAAAGACAUGAACAUCUUGGAUGACAUGGGGAUCUUUAUGGAGUCUUUUUGUUUCACUGUUAUGCGGCCAAACUGGGAGCAUUUUAAGAGGGCAGUGUGAGUUCCUGUAAGCUGAUCUGUCACAGCUGGGCCGAGGAUGAUGUGCCGUGGGUGUGACGCCUCCAGGUUCAGUAACGCCCGAGAGGCACACCCAGUCCUCCUCACCUUCAGAGCAAACCUCCCACACACACGCAUGCACACACACGCACACACACACAAACAGAAAAAGCUGCUCUGACAGGGGCUUUCUGUAUAAUAAUGCAUCAGUCACACUCACAACAAAAUCUUUUGGUGAGCAAAUUAAACUAUGUACAUUUGUUGAUAAAACCUCUGUUUUGGACUUUCUGUAUUGAGUAUUUUGAUGCCUUUUGCAGCUAGUUUAUAACUUCUCAAAUUUCGCAAAUAGAAACAGACACAAAACAAGAGAGAAAAUGUAAUGUAAGGUCUUGAGGCUCUUUAAUAGUUAUUUCUAUUUCUAAAAUGCUUCAUCAAAAGUCUAUAAGAAGAGCUGUCAUCUGAAAUUCAGAGAUAAUUUUUUUAGGGUACAGCUAAUAUUUAAGCACCUUAAUAAAAUGUUUCGUGCCGCUGGCAAUCAGCCCCAAUAAAUAGCAACAAACUUGAGCAUAAAAUUAAAAAGAGGAAAAAUAUUUUGAGUAUUAAAUUAAUCUGAGCUAGCGUCUAAUUUGAGUGUGGGCAAGUGUUCAGUUUUCCUUAUGAAGAGUGUCUAAAGAGUGCCAAGUUUAAGAUCAUACUAAAUUGAUUUUGUCAUGUGUUCAAAGGGACUUGGCUGGUGAAGUCCAGAAUGUUCUCUUCACUUGAACAUUUUUUGCCCUUCAUGACAACUGUGAGGGGUGUAAUUUUUUACAGUCUAUGCUUUUUCCCAACAAAGUCAAAACAGGUGCCUAACCUUCAGAAACUGACCUGUCUUACUUUGAAUUUAUUAAAAACCUGAUUUAUAUAACUGUCCUUUCCUAUCAAUAUAUAUUUAUAUAAUAACAAUACAUUAUUAUAUUAAAUUAACAUAAUACAAUGUCCAAACUUUAAGAAUAAAUAAAUUUAAUCUAAGCCAGAAUGAGUAACAGGGUUACAAAAUUAAAAUACAUCUAUUUUAUACUAAUGACCGAACAGGAAAGAGAAUUUCCCAAAUGAAAAAAUAAAAUAAAAUAAAUUGGAAUGACAUUGACUUUUAUUUAUAAAUAUACAAAAUAUAUACUCUUAAACAAAGCAUCA
This is a long non-coding RNA of Carassius gibelio (silver crucian carp), 2221 nucleotides long. RefSeq lists it as uncharacterized. The record is from RefSeq and is a predicted model, not a curated record. Lineage: Eukaryota; Metazoa; Chordata; Actinopteri; Cypriniformes; Cyprinidae. The transcript is spliced from 3 exons.